RNAcentral lists this ribosomal RNA (253 nucleotides) under uncultured bacterium. RNAcentral's name for it is "partial 16S ribosomal RNA". It matches the Rfam family "Bacterial small subunit ribosomal RNA", at positions 524 to 776 of the family's 1533-position model. The record is from RNAcentral.
UACAGAGGGUGCGAGCGUUAAUCGGAAUUACUGGGCGUAAAGCGUGCGUAGACGGUUGUGUAAGUCGGAUGUGAAAGCCCCGGGCUCAACCUGGGAAUGGCAUUCGAGACUGCAUAGCUAGGAUGCGGAAGAGGGAAGUGGAAUUUCCGGUGUAGCGGUGAAAUGCGUAGAUAUCGGAAGGAACACCAGUGGCGAAAGCGGUCUUCUGGAGCACUCUUGACGCUGAGGCGCGAAAGCUGGGGGAGCGAACGGG